AGCGAACGCUGGCGGCAGUCCUAACACAUGCAAGUCGAACGAACCUUUCGGGGUUAGUGGCGGACGGGUGAGUAACACGUGGGAACGUGCCUUUAGGUUCGGAAUAACUCAGGGAAACUUGUGCUAAUACCGAAUGUGCCCUUCGGGGGAAAGAUUUAUCGCCUUUAGAGCGGCCCGCGUCUGAUUAGCUAGUUGGUUGAGGUAAUGGCUCACCAAGGCGACGAUCAGUAGCUGGUCUGAGAGGAUGAUCAGCCACAUUGGGACUGAGACACGGCCCAAACUCCUACGGGAGGCAGCAGUGGGGAAUCUUGCGCAAUGGGCGAAAGCCUGACGCAGCCAUGCCGCGUGAAUGAUGAAGGUCUUAGGAUUGUAAAAUUCUUUCACCGGGGACGAUAAUGACGGUACCCGGAGAAGAAGCCCCGGCUAACUUCGUG
This 434-nucleotide ribosomal RNA is filed under the name uncultured bacterium. RNAcentral's name for it is "partial 16S ribosomal RNA". It matches the Rfam family "Bacterial small subunit ribosomal RNA", at positions 29 to 507 of the family's 1533-position model. The record is from RNAcentral.